AUGCCAAAAAAAAUCAGUUUUCUUUUUGCUAUUUUAUUUGAUUUUAUUAUUAAUCACACAUGUCCAGCUGGAGAUACUCUUAGAUUUUGGACGCCGAUAAGUGCCGUACGUGUGGGCAUUAGGAGGUUUGCCCACACAUUUUGUGUGGUGUAUAAGAGGAACAGCCCACACAUCUACAUGUGGGCAAAACAAGUAAUGCCCACACACCUCUUUUUUUUCCUCCCGAUCCCUCUCACACGCGUGCGUGUGGGCGAAAUAGAUAACGCCCACACGCCCCGUACAUCAGGCCUCGUACCUCGUGGUCCCGCACGCCCCGCGUGA
RNAcentral lists this ribosomal RNA (321 nucleotides) under Triticum aestivum (bread wheat). RNAcentral describes it as "partial small subunit ribosomal RNA". Lineage: Eukaryota; Viridiplantae; Streptophyta; Magnoliopsida; Poales; Poaceae. The record is from RNAcentral.